Molecule: small nucleolar RNA, 73 nt
Organism: Acipenser ruthenus (sterlet)
Lineage: Eukaryota; Metazoa; Chordata; Actinopteri; Acipenseriformes; Acipenseridae
Product: small nucleolar RNA SNORD50
Exons: 1
Source: RefSeq, a predicted model, not a curated record
UAGCAUGAUGAAUCUAUCCCGAACCUGAUUUCAGAUUUGAUUGAAAAUUAAAUAGGGAUCUGACUACUGAACU